Molecule: ribosomal RNA, 406 nt
Filed under: uncultured bacterium
Lineage: Bacteria
Description: partial 16S ribosomal RNA
Rfam family: Bacterial small subunit ribosomal RNA
Source: RNAcentral
AUUGAACGCUGGCGGCAGGCCUAACACAUGCAAGUCGAACGAGUGGCGGACGGGUGAGUAAUGUCUGGGAAACUGCCUGAUGGAGGGGGAUAACUACUGGAAACGGUAGCUAAUCCCGCAUACCAUCGGAUGUGCCCAGAUGGGAUUAGCUAGUUGGGGGGGUAAAGGCUCACCUAGGCGACGAUCCCUAGCUGGUCUGAGAGGAUGACCAGCCAAACUGGAAACUAGACACGGUCCCGAAGCCGACGGGAGGGAGGAGGUGGGAAUAUUGGACAAUGGGCGCAAGCCCGAUGCAGCCAAGCCGCGUGUAUUGAGAAGGCCUUCGGGUUGUAAAGUACUUUCAGCGGGGAGGCGGUACCCGCAGAAGAAGGACCGGCUAACUUCGGGCCAGCCGCCGCGGUAAUUC